RNAcentral lists this ribosomal RNA (434 nucleotides) under uncultured bacterium. RNAcentral describes it as "partial 16S ribosomal RNA". It matches the Rfam family "Bacterial small subunit ribosomal RNA", at positions 29 to 507 of the family's 1533-position model. The record is from RNAcentral.
AGCGAACGCUGGCGGCAGGCCUAACACAUGCAAGUCGAACGAACCUUUCGGGGUUAGUGGCGGACGGGUGAGUAACACGUGGGAACGUGCCUUUAGGUUCGGAAUAACUCAGGGAAACUUGUGCUAAUACCGAAUGUGCCCUUCGGGUGAAAGAUUAAUCGCCUUUAGAGCGGCCCGCGUCUGAUUAGCUAGUUGGUUGAGGUAAUGGCUCACCAAGGCGACGAUCAGUAGCUGGUCUGAGAGGAUGAUCAGCCACAUUGGGACUGAGACACGGCCCAAACUCCUACGGGAGGCAGCAGUGGGGAAUCUUGCGCAAUGGGCGAAAGCAUGACGCAGCCAUGCCGCGUGAAUGAUGAAGGUCUUAGGAUUGUAAAAUUCUUUAACCGGGGACGAUAAUGACGGUACCCGGAGAAGAAGCCCCGGCUAACUUCGUG